This 406-nucleotide ribosomal RNA is filed under the name uncultured bacterium. RNAcentral's name for it is "partial 16S ribosomal RNA". It matches the Rfam family "Bacterial small subunit ribosomal RNA", at positions 30 to 526 of the family's 1533-position model. The record is from RNAcentral.
AUUGAACGCUGGCGGCAGGCUUAACACAUGCAAGUCGAACGAGUGGCGGACGGGUGAGUAAUGUAUGGGGAUCUGCCCGAUAGAGGGGGAUAACUACUGGAAACGGUGGCUAAUACCGCAUACUAUCGGAUGAACCCAUAUGGGAUUAGCUAGUAGGUGGGGUAAUGGCUCACCUAGGCGACGAUCCCUAGCUGGUCUGAGAGGAUGACCAGCCACACUGGAACUGAGACACGGUCCAGACUCCUACGGGAGGCAGCAGUGGGGAAUAUUGCACAAUGGGCGCAAGCCUGAUGCAGCCAUGCCGCGUGUGUGAAGAAGGCCUUCGGGUUGUAAAGCACUUUCAGCGAGGAGGCGUUACUCGCAGAAGAAGCACCGGCUAACUCCGUGCCAGCCGCCGCGGUAAUUC